ACGAACGCUAGCGGCAGGCAUAAUACAUGCAAGUUGAACGGCAGCACAGGUAGCAAUACCGGGUGGCGAGUGGCGCGCGGGUGCGUAACACGUAUGCAACCUACCCUAUACAGGCGAAUAACCUUUAGAAAUGAGGGCUAAUACGCCGUGGUAUUAUCUUGGGGCAUCUUGAGAUAAUUAAAGAUUUAUCGGUAUAGGAUGGGCAUGCGUCCCAUUAGUUAGUUGGUAGGGUAACGGCCUACCAAGGCGAUGAUGGGUAGGGG
This 263-nucleotide ribosomal RNA is filed under the name uncultured bacterium. Its description in RNAcentral is "partial 16S ribosomal RNA". It matches the Rfam family "Bacterial small subunit ribosomal RNA", at positions 29 to 289 of the family's 1533-position model. The record is from RNAcentral.